GUGGGGAAUUUUGGACAAUGGGCGCAAGCCUGAUCCAGCAAUGCCGCGUGCAGGAAGAAGGCCUUCGGGUUGUAAACUGCUUUUGUACGGAACGAAAAGGCUCUGGUUAAUACCUGGGGCUCAUGACGGUACCGUAAGAAUAAGCACCGGCUAACUACGUGCCAGCAGCCGCGGUAAUACGUAGGGUGCAAGCGUUAAUCGGAAUUACUGGGCGUAAAGCGUGCGCAGGCGGUUUUGUAAGACAGACGUGAAAUCCCCGGGCUCAACCUGGGAAUGGCGUUUGUGACUGCAAAGCUGGAGUGCGGCAGAGGGGGAUAGAAUUCCGCGUGUAGCAGUGAAAUGCGUAGAUAUGCGGAGGAACACCGAUGGCGAAGGCAAUCCCCUGGGCCUGCACUGACGCUCAUGCACGAAAGCGUGGGGAGCAAACAGGAUUAGAAACCCUAGUAGUCC
Molecule: ribosomal RNA, 450 nt
Filed under: uncultured bacterium
Lineage: Bacteria
Description: partial 16S ribosomal RNA
Rfam family: Bacterial small subunit ribosomal RNA
Source: RNAcentral